CAGCAGCCGCGGUAAUACGUAGGGUGCAAGCGUUAAUCGGAAUUACUGGGCGUAAAGCGCACGCAGGCGGUCUGUCAAGUCAGAUGUGAAAUCCCCGGGCUUAACCUGGGAACUGCAUUUGGAACUGGCAGGCUAGAGUCUUGUAGAGGGGGGUAGAAUUCCAGGUGUAGCGGUGAAAUGCGUAGAGAUCUGGAGGAAUACCGGUGGCGAAGGCGGCCCCCUGGACAAAGACUGACGCUCAGGUGCGAAAGCGUGGGGAGCAAACAGGAUUAGAUACCCCAGUAGUCCCUGUCUCUUAUAC
RNAcentral lists this ribosomal RNA (301 nucleotides) under uncultured bacterium. RNAcentral describes it as "partial 16S ribosomal RNA". It matches the Rfam family "Bacterial small subunit ribosomal RNA", at positions 509 to 807 of the family's 1533-position model. The record is from RNAcentral.